RNAcentral lists this ribosomal RNA (730 nucleotides) under uncultured bacterium. Its description in RNAcentral is "bacterial SSU rRNA". It matches the Rfam family "Bacterial small subunit ribosomal RNA", at positions 51 to 777 of the family's 1533-position model. The record is from RNAcentral.
ACACAUGCAGUCGAGCGGUAGAGAGGUGCUUGCACCUCUCGAGAGCGGCGGACGGGUGAGUAAUACCUAGGAAUCUGCCUGGUAGUGGGGGAUAACGUUCGGAAACGGACGCUAGUACCGCAUACGUCCUACGGGAGAAAGCAGGGGACCUUCGGGCCUUGCGCUAUCAGAUGAGCCUAGGUCGGAUUAGCUAGUUGGUGAGGUAAUGGCUCACCAAGGCUACGAUCCGUAACUGGUCUGAGAGGAUGAUCAGUCACACUGGAACUGAGACACGGUCCAGACUCCUACGGGAGGCAGCAGUGGGGAAUAUUGGACAAUGGGCGAAAGCCUGAUCCAGCCAUGCCGCGUGCGUGAAGAAGGUCUUCGGAUUGUAAAGCACUUUAAGUUGGGAGGAAGGGCAUUAACCUAAUACGUUAGUGCUUUGACGUUACCGACAGAAUAAGCACCGGCUAACUCUGUGCCAGCAGCCGCGGUAAUACAGAGGGUGCAAGCGUUAAUCGGAAUUACUGGGCGUAAAGCGCGCGUAGGUGGUUUGUUAAGUUGAAUGUGAAAUCCCCGGGCUCAACCUGGGAACUGCAUCCAAAACUGGCAAGCUAGAGUAUGGUAGAGGGUGGUGGAAUUUCCUGUGUAGCGGUGAAAUGCGUAGAUAUAGGAAGGAACACCAGUGGCGAAAGCGACCACCUGGACUGAUACUGACACUGAGGUGCGAAAGCGUGGGGAGCAAACAGGA